GACGAACGCUGGCGGCGUGCUUAACACAUGCAAGUCGAACGGAAAGGCCCUGCUCUUGUGGGGUGCUCGAGUGGCGAACGGGUGAGUAACACGUGAGUAAACUGCACUUGACUUUGGGAUAACUUCAGGAAACUGGGGCUAAUAUCGGAUAGGAGAUACUGCUGCAUGGUGGGGGUUGGAAAGUUUCGGCGGUUGGGGCUGGACUCGCGGCUUAUCAGCUUGUUGGUGGGGUAGUGGCUUACCAAGGCUUUGACGGGUAGCCGGCCUGGGCGGGUGACCGGCCACAUUGGUACUGAGAUACGGCCCAGACGCCUACGGGAGGCAGCAGUGGAGAAUAUUGCACAAUGGGCGGAAGCCUGAUGCAGCGACGCCGCGUGCGUGAUGACGGCCUUCGGGGUGUAAACCGCUUUCGCCUGUGACGAAGCGUGAGUGACGGUAAUGGGUAAAGAAGCACCGGCUAACUACGUG
RNAcentral lists this ribosomal RNA (468 nucleotides) under uncultured bacterium. RNAcentral describes it as "partial 16S ribosomal RNA". It matches the Rfam family "Bacterial small subunit ribosomal RNA", at positions 28 to 507 of the family's 1533-position model. The record is from RNAcentral.